UCUUGAGCCACAUCCCCAGCCCUGGAAUUUUUAUUUAUUCAUUCAUUCAGUCCUCAGAAUUUAUUGAAUCCCUUCCUUCCAUAUGCCAGGUAUUGAUGUAGGUGCUGGGAAAUACAUCAGUGAACAAAACUGACAAUCUUCUGCCUUCAAAGAACUUAUAUUCAGAUUUAAAAAAAAAACCAACAUUUACAAUGUAAUUCAGAGCAGUUAACUCAAUCAAAACAAAAACUAAUCAGAUAAGAUAUUCUUUGAUAAAGCCUUAAUAACCUUAGAAAGUUUGAGCUGCCUACCUUUCAUUAUGUAUAAGAAAUAGAAAUUCACUCGUUUUUUUGCUUUAAGAAAGAUUUACCUGACUUUAUUUAUUUUUUUCAUUGUCUCUAUAUGCCUGUCAUUGAGGUUUGAACCAGUAAAAGCAGAGGGCUAGGUUAUUAUUCAUUCAGUGAUUAACUACCCAAGCAUCUCUUCUUGAACCAGGCAUUAUUAUGAAGGGUCCAGAAGGUAUAGUCUUGUGCCAAACCAGAUAAACCCUUCUCUUAUACAAAUUAAGAAACAUGGUAAAUAGUUGGGAGUUAAGAGAUCAAGGUUAUGCCAAUUUUUUAAAAAAUAUUUUUUAUUUGUAGUUGGACACAAUAUCUUUAUUUUUUAAAUUUAUUUUUAUGUGGUGCUGAGGAUUGAACCCAGAGCCUUGCAUGUGCUAGGUGAGUGCUCUACUGCUGAGCCACAAUCCUAGCCCAGGUUAUGCCAAUUUUAGAACAAUAUAUAAUAAUUAUUUUUUUCUUUGUUUCUUUUCUUUUUUUUUUUUGUGUGUGUGUGUGUGGUGCUGAGGGAUUGAAUUUAGGGCCUUAUGCAUGUGAGGCAAGCACUCUAUCAACCGAGCUAUAUUUCUAGUCCCAAUGAUUAUGUUUUUAUAUAACUAAUGUAGCCACACUACUAAAUUAAGAGGAAAAAAAUCAAGGGAAUUUUUUUUUUAUUUCUUCACUAUAGCAUAAUCAUGUUCAUAAAUGUUUUGUUAUUUUUGAAGAAGUGGUAGUAGUACCAGGUGUGGUAAU
RNAcentral lists this long non-coding RNA (1049 nucleotides) under Marmota monax (woodchuck). The record is from RNAcentral. Lineage: Eukaryota; Metazoa; Chordata; Mammalia; Rodentia; Sciuridae.